RNAcentral lists this long non-coding RNA (6988 nucleotides) under Carica papaya (papaya). Its description in RNAcentral is "long non-coding RNA (CPAP_LNC008392)". The record is from RNAcentral. Lineage: Eukaryota; Viridiplantae; Streptophyta; Magnoliopsida; Brassicales; Caricaceae.
AAUGCAUGUAUCACUGCUUACUUCACUACUGUGUGAUUUUAGAAUUUAUGAUAUGAUUGUAUUACCGGGUGAAUGUUUACUAUUUAUGUGAUUAUAUUCAACUUAGUAACGGAGACUAAGGACAAAUAGGAAUGGGAUGUGAUUUGAUAAAUUGAUAAGAUGACAACAUUACUACAUAUCUUAGGAGAUGGUGGACGGACUGGGUUCAUAGGGAACCCUACCGUGAACAUUGUCUCAUACCGGACAUGAUAUGGAGAGUUGGUCAUUUGGCGCUCAUACCGGAUGGGGUAUGGAGACAGUCCGCUUCACCCUCAUACCAGACGGGGUAUUGAGGUUUAUUGUUUUGGUGCCCAUACCGGACGGGGUAUGGGACGACCCUGGAAUUAAGGUUGUUAAGAAGAGUGGUUCACGUGUAGCGGGGAGACUCCUAUGGAUCCCCAUGGAUAUUAAUAGGCUGGUAAAAAUAAGAAACAAUGAUAAUCAGUUAUUGUUAAUGAAUACGGAUUUAUGAUAUCUUUUAUGUUACUGAUUAUGCAUGAAAUUAUGAUCUGUAUGAUGUUAUUGUCUUUAUAGGUUGUUUUCAUAGGUUCUCCAAGGGUAAGAAAAAGAGUAAAUGGUUUUAUUUUAAAUAAAUGUAUUGCUUUAAAAUUUGUGCUCCAUUGGUUGUUUUGUUUUCUACCAACCUUCACUUCUGUGACGGUGAUAUAGUGUGAUGUCUUUACUGGGCUAGUGUAGCUCAUUCCUUAUUUAACCAUUUCAGAUCAGGAGGACCUUGUUCCCGAGCCUGAUCCACAAGAAGACGGUGAGUAGAUGCUAAACGCUUUAUAGUUUCCUUUAUUUUUCUUAUUUCUCGUAUUUCUUUUAGAGAACUUAUUCCGUGAUAUUGUUUAGUACUUUUAAGUUAUUCUGUAAGGGAUGUUAAUCUUAAUUUUUUAUUUUCGCUUCUGCAGUUAAAUUAUUAUAUGUAUUUCUUUUUGAAUUUCCGGGGUCGUUACAGUUGGUAUCAAAGCUGCGUUCCUCGGACCCGUCCCUUACAUAAUAAUACUUAGAGAAACACCAAAUAAUGAAUUAUCACUCAACUCUUCCUUGUGAAUCAAGUAUAGAGAGAUGAGAAGAGGAAGACCCUCACUAAAUCGGACAGCCUGGGAGGGUUUGCUCAGGGAAGACAUGGACAAGAUAUUUGAGAUGUUAGAAAGACUCAUUGCGGCCCAGCAGAGCCGAAAGGAGAGGACAGAGCUGCCUGACCCUCCCUCGCUGCUACAGGUUGAGCCACCACUGCAGCGAGAUGAUCCUGAGCCAUCUCGGUACAACCCUGAUUCUCUACAGUACUGCCUGGUGCCACUGUUGCAGUAUAAUUUGGUGCCCCAGUCACAGUACUGCCCGACACUGCCACAGUAUAAUCCAGUGCCCCCGCCAUAUCAGCAAGUACCACCACAGGGCCCCCCAGUCUAUCAUCAGCUUGGCCUAGUCCCUCUUCCACGUGACCCAGUUCCUCUCAUAAUUGACCCAGACUACAUAGAGAGGUACAGGAGGCUGAACCCAUCUAUUUUUGCAGGGGAAUCCUCUUUUGAAGAUGCCCAGUACUAGUUAGCGGAGACGGAGAAGGCCUUCAAGACCCUAGGGGUGACUCCCGAGCAGAGAGUCACCAUCGCUACCUAUAUGCUGGUGGGAGAAGCAGACCGCUGGUGGGAACUCAAGCAGACCACCUUCCAUGUUCCAGUUACUUGGGAACAGUUCUUAGCAGCCUUUCAUGCAGAGUACCUCCCAGAGCACAUCCGACAUCUUAAGGAGAUGGAGUUUGUCUAGUUGGUCCAGGGGAACAUGACUGUGUCAGAAUAUGCUCGCAAGUUCCUGAAGUUGGGUCGAUACUCUCCUGAGACGUCGAUGGAUGGAGGUAGGAAGGCUAGGAGGUUCCAAUGGGGCCUCCACCCAAAGAUCAAACAACAUUUAUUUAUACUAGAGCUCAGAACUUAUUCGGCCAUUCUAGCCAAGGCACAAUUAGUGGAGAGGAGCCUCCACACCCUCCCUCAGUCAGUAGGGAGCCAUAGACCCUCAGGUCUGCUCUGAAGACCAGCACCUACUGCACUUGUCCAACAGAACAAGAGGUCCAGACUGGUGAUCCAGGCUCCCUAUUAGGCUCUAGUGGCAAGACAUGGUAAGAUCUGUCAGCAUUGCGGCAGGGAUCACGGGGACCGACCAUGCUACCGCCUCAAUAACAUCUGUCGCAUAUGUGGUAGUGCCCAACACUAUGCGAGAGAGUGCCCAAGGAACCAGAAUCAGGGCAGACCUCCUAUCCAGGGCAGGGCUUACAACCUCACCCAGCAGGAUGCCGAAGCCGACCCAGACGUGGUACAGGGCAAACCUAAGAAAGUGAAUUAUAUUCAAGAGAUUUCGGUAGUCUGAGACUUUUUAGAUGUGUUUCUGGAUGAACUACCUGGACUGCCAAUGGAUAGGGAAGUCGAGUUCAUCAUAGAUCUACAGCCAGACACCCAGCCUAUUUCGGUUGCUCCUUACCGCAUGAAUCGCGUUGAGAUGGAGGAGCUGAGGAAACAGAUCACUGAAUUGCAAGACAGUAGUUUUAUCAGACAUAGUGUGUCCCCUUGGGGUGCUGGAGUCAUGUUUGCUAGAAAGGGAGAUGGAAUGUUGAGACUAUGUAUUGAUUACAGAGGAUUGAACAGGGUUACAGUCAAGAACAAGUAUCCCCUUCCCAACAUUGAUGACCUCUUCGAUCAGUUGCAGGGUACGCAGGUCUUCUCCAAAAUAGACCUGCGAUCAGGUUACCAUCAGGUGAAAAUAAAGACAGAAGACAUCCCCAAGACGGCUUUUCGAACCAAGUACGGACACUAUUAGUUCCUGGUCAUAACAUUUGGGCUAACCAACAUUCCCCAACCAUCUUCAUGGAUAUAAUGAACAGGGUCUUCAGACAAUUCUUAGAUCAAUUUGUUAUCGUGUUCAUCGAUGACAUCCUAGUCUACUCAAAAAGCAGAGAGGAACAUGCACACCAUCUAGCUCAGGUUUUGCAGGUUCUUAGAAGAAAGAAGCUGUAUGCAAAGUUAAAUAAGUGUGGAUUCUAGCUUGAGCAGACCACCUUCCUAGGACACAUCAUAUCAAAGGAUGAAGUAUCAGUGAAUCCUAAAAAGGUUGAAGCAGUACUCGGCUGGGAGAAAUUGACAUCAGUUAAAGAAAUCCGUAGCUUUCUGGGAAUGGUGGACUAUUACCGAAGGUUCGUUGAAGGAUUUUCUAGUCUAGCUGCUCCCCUAACCCGACUCACAAAGAAGAAAGCCAAGUUUGAGUGGAAUGAAGACUGUGAAAGAAGUUUUUCAGAACUAAAGAAGCGGCUGACUACUGCGCCUGUGCUGGCCUUACCGAGUGGAUCGGGGGGAUAUAUAGUUUACAGUGAUGCCUCUUAUCUAGGCUUGGGUUGUGUUCUAAUGCAGCAUGGGAAGGUCAUAGCCUAUGGGUCCAGACAGUUAAAGAGUCAUGAGAAAAAUUAUCCCACCCAUGACUUAGAGCUUGCCGCAAUCAUACAUACCUUGAAGACUUGGCGCCAUUAUUUAUAUGGAGAGACCUUUCAAAUCUAUACCGAUCACAAGAGUUUGAAACACAUAUUCACUCAAAAGGAUCUCAACAUGCGUUAGAGAAGGUGGAUAAAACUUCUUAAGGACUAUGAUUGUGACAUGUUAUACCAUCCAGGUAAGGACAACAUGGUAGCCGAUGCACUCAGCAGAAAAAGUGCAGGUAUCUUAGCCCAUUGAUGGUUUCAGAAUGCAAAAAAAUUGGGGCCACACAAUAGGUUCGACUUUAGGACUUGAUGAGAGUCACAUGUUUGGGUCAUCUGACAGUCCAGCCUGAGUUAAUCUAGAGAAUAAGAGAAACUCAGUCAGCUGAUCCCGCCCCAGUAGCCCUCAAGAACGAUGCAAAAUAGGGAGUUAGCUCAGAAUUCUGAGUCUCUGCCGAUAGGUUACUCUAAUUCCAGGACAGGGUGUGUGUUCCUGGUGACAGUGAGUUAAAGAGAGAUAUCAUGACAGAGGCCUAUAGCUCAAAGUUUGCCAUGCAUCCCGGAAGCACUAAAAUGUAUAAAAGUAUGCGACCCCGGGUUUGGUGGAAUGGGAUGAAAAGAGACAUAACUGACUUUGUAUCUAAAUACUUGAUAUGUCAGCAGGUCAAGGCAGAGCAUCAGCGCCCAGGCGGGUUACUUCAACCUUUACCGAUCCCAGAGUGGAAGUGGAAACAUAUCACCAUAGACUUCGUGACAGGGUUACCUGAGGCACGCUCAGGACAUGAUGCCAUUUGGGUAGUUGUUGACCGGCUUACCAAGUCUUCCCACUUCUUAACCAUCAGGAUGACCGAUCUCUUAGAUAAAUUGGCAAUAAUGUAUGUCCGAGAAAUAGUCAGAUUGCAUAGAGUCCCAGUGACAGUGGUGUCUGACAGGAACCCUAGGUUCACUUCUUGGUUUUGGAGCAGCUUUCAGCAAGUCAUGAGAAUGAAGCUGUCCCUCGGUACUGCCUUCCACCCUCAGACUGAUGGACAGUCAGAAAGGACAAUCCAUACACUUGAGGAUAUGCUCCGAGCUUGUGUCCUUGACUCUGGGGGCCAUUGGGACGACCAUCUACCCCUGAUAGAGUUCGCUUACAACAACAGCUAUCAAGCGAGUAUUGGCAUGGCUCCGUAUGAGGCGUUAUAUGGGCGCCCAUGCAGAUCACCGAUUUGUUGGAAAGAAGUGGGCGAUAGAAAAUUGUUCGGCCUGGAGCUGAUAGAGGAGACUGCAUUUAAAAUAGUUAAGAUCAAAAAGAGUAUUCAGACGGCUCAAAGUAGGCAGAAGAGUUAUGCGGAUACGCGAAAGAGAGAUUUACCAAUUGAGGAAGGCGACUGGGCGUUCCUUAAGGUCAUUCCUUUUAAGCAAAUCAGUAGGUUCGGCAAGAGGGGGAAACUGAACCCCCGAUUUAUCGGACCAUUUGAAGUCUUAGACAGGAUUGGUACUGCUGCCUAUAGACUAGCACUACCUUCAGAACUUUUUAAGGUCCACAAUGUGUUUCAUGUGUCUAUGCUAGCAAGUACAACUCGGACCCCUCUCAUGCUUGGGCCACGAACCUCUUCCACUCUGGGAGGAUUUAUCCUAUGAUGAAAUACCAGUCGGCAUUGCAGAUCAAAAGAGUAUAUUACUCCGCAACUGGGAGAUAUCCUUUGUGAAAGGUCAUAUGACAGAACCACACACCAAAGGGAGGCCACAUGGGAGCUAGAAUCAGACUUUAUUUUUAUUUUUAUUAAUUAUUAUUAUUUUUUAUAUAAAUAUAAUUAUUAUUUAUAUGAUUUUAAUUUAAUUUAUUUAAAUUUAAUUAAUUUAAUAAUAAUAAUAAUAAUAAUGGUAAAAAUUGGUUAGGGAUUUAAUUGAAAAUAAUUUUAGAGAAAAAGUGUGAAAAUUUGGGUUAUGGAGAUAUUUUUGAAAGAAAAAUCAGAAAUCGGAGGGCAAAACGCAAUUUAAAAAAGUUACGCCACAUCAGCUACCCGGUCAACAGCCCCGACCAACCAGGACAUGCCAAGUGGCAGAGGCGUUGACGCGGGAGGAGUCACGUGGGCAAUCCGCGUGCGCAUGAUCGAACGGUUGAGAACCGUUCCCGCGCGCACGGACGACCCAGAUCAAAAAUACGCAUGGACGACUCAGAUUGCAUCGCGCACGGACGGUCUAGAUUGAAUCGCGCACGAAUGGCCAGAUUGAAUGUGAUGAACGGCUCAAAUUCACUCCCUAUUUAAUCGCGAUCGGACGGUCCAGAUUAAAAGCGAUGGACGGCCCAGAUCAAAAGCGAAUGAGUAUAAAUAACUCCAUCCACAUCCAACCCUAGCCGCCAGAGCCCCCCACCGGAGAAGACAGCCCAGCCGCCGGGGAGCCGACCGCCGCUGUAUUGGAGCAAUUUUUGACUGCCAAACGAGAUAAAAAUUUAUCCUCUUGCAUGAAAUUCAAUUUUAAACCCACCCAUGGUAAAAUCAAAGUGAAAGAAGUGGCCGAUUGGCCAAAAAACGCCGCCGAAGCUAGGCGGCGCCACCACGGGGUGUUUCAGAAAAUGCCUCUGAUGAGGCCCUUCUCGAUUCCCGUUCGAUGUGAUUUUUUUACUGUUGGGACCACCGUUUUCUUCUCUAUAGGUUGACCGAAGCAAAACACCCAACCGCAACGUGAGCCAGAGGAGCCACCGCACCGGAGAGCUCCACUGCCGGUGAGUUUCAGUUUUCUGCAUUUUUUCGGCCCACCAAGGGCCCUAAGUGUAUUUUCUCGCAGGAACCGGUACAAGUUCGGCUGAAUUCAGCCGCUGGAGCAUGGCGGAGCCACCGUCGCCGGAGCAUGGUGGAGCCACUGUCGCUGGAGCAUGGCGGAGCCACCGUGCCGGAAUUUCAAAAUUGGUCAAGUAGGUGCUGGGUCUGAUUUUUGGGUUAUUUGGGACACUUGUAGGUACCGUAAGCGUGUUUCAGUUUUCGAAUGAAAAUUCAGGAAAUCCAGGGACCGUCCGAGGCGCAGUAACCAUCUAGUUUUCGGUGUCGAAUCAAGUAGGGACCCCUCACCCUAUUUUCUAUCAUGGAAUUGAAGUUUGAAUAAAUAAUAAUACUUUAUUUUGUACAAAUUAAAUAGAUAUGCAUAAUUAAUUACGAUUGCUAAUAGAGCCUGAACCAGACAUAUUUCUCUGUCGAUUCCUGUUUGAUUUAUUUUGCAGUUUAAAUGUAUUAUGGUAUCUGGUUUAUCUAUUCUAUAGUUUUAAACGUAUGUAUCACUGCUUACUUCACUACUGUUUGAUUUUGAGAAUAUAAGAUAUGAUUGUAUUACUGGGUGCAUGUUUACUGUUUAUGUGAUUACGUUCAACUUGGUAAUGGAGACUAAGGACAAAUAGAAAUGAGAUGUGAUUUAAUAAAUGGAUAAGAUGACAGCCUUACUAGAUAUCCUGAGAGAUGGUGGAUGGACCGAGUUCAUAAGGAACCCUACCGUGAACGUUGUCUCAUACCG